RNAcentral lists this transfer RNA (72 nucleotides) under Schistocephalus solidus. It matches the Rfam family "tRNA". Rfam says of the family: Transfer RNA (tRNA) molecules are approximately 80 nucleotides in length. Their secondary structure includes four short double-helical elements and three loops (D, anti-codon, and T loops). Further hydrogen bonds mediate the characteristic L-shaped molecular structure. tRNAs have two regions of fundamental functional importance: the anti-codon, which is responsible for specific mRNA codon recognition, and the 3' end, to which the tRNAs corresponding amino acid is attached (by aminoacyl-tRNA synthetases). tRNAs cope with the degeneracy of the genetic code in two manners: having more than one tRNA (with a specific anti-codon) for a particular amino acid; and 'wobble' base-pairing, i.e. permitting non-standard base-pairing at the 3rd anti-codon position. Lineage: Eukaryota; Metazoa; Platyhelminthes; Cestoda; Diphyllobothriidea; Diphyllobothriidae. The record is from Rfam by way of RNAcentral.
GGCCUCGUGGCUCAGUUGGCUAGAGCGUUGGUUAUACUAAAGCUGGCGUGGGUUCGAAUCCCACCGAGGCUG